CCUACGGGAGGUAGCAGUGGGGAAUUUUGGACAAUGGGCGAAAGCCUGAUCCAGCCAUUCCGCGUGCAGGAUGAAGGCCCUCGGGUUGUAAACUGCUUUUGUACGGAACGAAAAGCCUUCUUCUAAUACAGGAGGGUCAUGACGGUACCGUAAGAAUAAGCACCGGCUAACUACGUGCCAGCAGCCGCGGUAAUACGUAGGGUGCAAGCGUUAAUCGGAAUUACUGGGCGUAAAGCGUGCGCAGGCGGUUAUGUAAGACAGAUGUGAAAUCCCCGGGCUCAACCUGGGAACUGCAUUUGUGACUGCAUAGCUAGAGUACGGUAGAGGGGGAUGGAAUUCCGCGUGUAGCAGUGAAAUGCGUAGAUAUGCGGAGGAACACCGAUGGCGAAGGCAAUCCCCUGGACCUGUACUGACGCUCAUGCACGAAAGCGUGGGGAGCAAACAGGAUUAGAUACCCCGGUAGUCCACGCCCUAAACGAUGUCAACUGGUUGUUGGGUCUUCACUGACUCAGUAACGAAGCUAACGCGUGAAGUUGACCGCCUGGGGAGUACGGCCGCAAGGUUGAAACUCAAAUGAAUUGACGG
Molecule: ribosomal RNA, 585 nt
Filed under: uncultured bacterium
Lineage: Bacteria
Description: bacterial SSU rRNA
Rfam family: Bacterial small subunit ribosomal RNA
Source: RNAcentral